GGGAAUAUGGCUUAGUGGUACAGUACUUGUCUAGCAUGCAUGAGGCCCUGGGUUCAAUUCCUCAGUACCA
RNAcentral lists this transfer RNA (70 nucleotides) under Dipodomys ordii (Ord's kangaroo rat). It matches the Rfam family "tRNA". Rfam says of the family: Transfer RNA (tRNA) molecules are approximately 80 nucleotides in length. The record is from Rfam by way of RNAcentral. Lineage: Eukaryota; Metazoa; Chordata; Mammalia; Rodentia; Heteromyidae.